UCCCUUUGUGACUUGUGUCUCUCUCUCUUCUGAGAUUUUAAAGCUUCGAACUUUCAACAAAAUUAUUUUACUUUUUUGCAGAGAGAAGAUCAUCGAUCUCAUCUUCGAAAACCUUAAAUUCAACCCGUUACGAGUUUGAUUCUUCGGUAUUAUUCUUUCUCUCUCGAUUUGAAAAAAAAAAGAAAUGGCGAAUGAAAUUGAAUCAGCGACAGAUCCAGGAUUCGAUGGUUAAUCAUAAGGCUGUUUUGGCUGUGACGGAUGAUGUUGUGUUGCCUGUUAGCUCUGUUCUAACUAUUAUGGAACAGCUUGGAAAGGAGCGUUUUGAUCCUCUGAUUAUUACUCAAGCAUCCACAAUAAUUCUUAGAUGUUAAUCCAGAACUUGGAAAUUCCUAUAACGAGGUCAUUGCUCCUCAAGAUGUUGCUACCUAUGGUGGACUCUGUGCCCUGGCAAGUUUUGAUCGAUCAGAAUUGAAGGCAUGUAUCCUAUUUAGCUUUUAUUUUACUCUGCCAGUUUGUUCCCAGUGUUUGCUUGUUGCAGCCGUUAUGCUUCCUGUCUGGAAUAUCUAGCAAGUCUGAAAGCGAACUUGCUGCUGGACAUCCAUCUUCAUGACCACGUUGACACACUGUAUGAUCAGAUAAGGAAGAAGGCACUGAUCCAGUACACACUGCCAUUUGUGUCUGUUGAUUUGAGCAGGAUGGCUGAUGCAUUCAAGACUAGUGUCUCUGGUCUAGAGAAGGAACUAGAAUACAUGAUCACAGACAACCAGAUUCAGGUUGAGAAGAAAUGGCAGGACACAAGGUUGCGCAUGCCACACUGAAAGGCCUGAGUGUUGUCAAGGAAUUAGUUAUUGGUUUGGCACUUGGUUUAGCUGCUGGUGGUCUCUGGAAAGAUGUUUUGAGAUUUUCACAUAUCUCUAUCAAUUUUGAGUUACCUAAUUAGCAUAACUUAUGCAAAAUUUGUAACUUUGUAAUUUUCUUAUGUUUUUAAUGUCAAUAUUAUAUGUUUUAUUUAAAUUAAAACUUUAAUA
Molecule: RNA transcript, 1028 nt
Organism: Camelina sativa (false flax)
Lineage: Eukaryota; Viridiplantae; Streptophyta; Magnoliopsida; Brassicales; Brassicaceae
Gene name: putative cytochrome c oxidase subunit 5C-1 pseudogene
Source: RefSeq, a predicted model, not a curated record